RNAcentral lists this long non-coding RNA (358 nucleotides) under Homo sapiens (human). Its description in RNAcentral is "non-protein coding lnc-EVL-6:11". Lineage: Eukaryota; Metazoa; Chordata; Mammalia; Primates; Hominidae. The record is from RNAcentral.
UCACACAUGACAGUGAGGAAACCAAGUGCAACUCCUGGGUUUUUUUAGAUUCUGCCUGACACGGAACACCAGGUCUGCUCGUCUUUUUUGUGUUUUAUAUUUGCUUAUUUAAGGUACAUUUCUUUGGGUUUCUAGAGACGCCCCUAAGUCACCUGCUUCAUUAGACGGUUUCCAGGUUUUCUCCCAGGUGACGCUGUUAGCGCCUCAGCUGGCGGUGACAGCCGGCCCAGCGUGGCGCCACCACACACCGCAGAGCUGUCCAGGCACAGCUCCGUCCCCAGCGCUCAUGGUGUUGAAACUGUCUGUCAUGCACCACGGUGUCUGUGUCCACACAGUAAUAAACGGUUUACUGUCCGCA